CGGGACGGGUGAGUAACGCGUGGGUAACCUGCCUUACACAGGGGGAUAACACUUAGAAAUAGGUGCUAAUACCGCAUGAGCGCACAGGACCGCAUGGUCGAGUGUGAAAAACUGAGGUGGUGUAAGAUGGACCCGCGUCUGAUUAGCUAGUUGGUGAGGUAACGGCCCACCAAGGCGACGAUCAGUAGCCGGCCUGAGAGGGUGGACGGCCACAUUGGGACUGAGACACGGCCCAAACUCCUACGGGAGGCAGCAG
RNAcentral lists this ribosomal RNA (256 nucleotides) under uncultured bacterium. RNAcentral's name for it is "partial 16S ribosomal RNA". It matches the Rfam family "Bacterial small subunit ribosomal RNA", at positions 98 to 354 of the family's 1533-position model. The record is from RNAcentral.